This is a non-coding RNA of Populus trichocarpa (black cottonwood), 155 nucleotides long. Lineage: Eukaryota; Viridiplantae; Streptophyta; Magnoliopsida; Malpighiales; Salicaceae. The record is from Rfam.
UCUAAAACUCCAUAUAUGAAUUGAACAUCGAACAAGGUUUGGACUACAAGAUAUAUUCAAAUUUCUUUUUUAUUGCUAAUAUUUAAACUUAAAACAACAGUAUUGAGUCUUAGGCUCUUCAUAAAUGUUUUAGGUCUACAUCUUAUAUUUCCAUC